Regulatory RNA element from Erwinia billingiae, 62 nucleotides. It matches the Rfam family "DnaX ribosomal frameshifting element". Rfam says of the family: This family represents a ribosomal frameshifting element found in the mRNA of the dnaX gene in E. coli. The dnaX gene has two encoded products tau and gamma which are produced in a 1:1 ratio. The gamma protein is synthesised due to programmed frameshifting and is shorter than tau. NCBI's taxonomy places the organism in Bacteria, Pseudomonadati, Pseudomonadota, Gammaproteobacteria, Enterobacterales, Erwiniaceae. The record is from Rfam.
AACAGGGAGCGACCAAACCAAAAAAGGAUGAGCCGGCAGCGCAACGUGCGCGGCCGGCAAGU